This 1350-nucleotide non-coding RNA is filed under the name Ctenophora environmental sample. RNAcentral's name for it is "partial Bacterial small subunit ribosomal RNA". It matches the Rfam family "Bacterial small subunit ribosomal RNA". The record is from RNAcentral. Lineage: Eukaryota; Metazoa; Ctenophora.
AUUUGAUUCUAGUUCUGGAUGAACGCUAGCAAGACAUAUGACACAUGUAAGUUAAAUGUUUAUAUUGAAUCUCAUAAAUUUAUAUAUAUUUUCAUAGCGAACGGGUGAGGAAAUACGAGAAAAUAUCUAUUUAAUAACAAGAAUGGUGAUAGAAAUUUUGUAAAUAGUUUUGCUCGUAAAGGAUUAGAUAGUUGGGGGGGUAAUAGCUACACCAAGUCUGUGAUCCUUAAUUGUGAUGAGAGUUUGAGCAAUCACAUAGGAACUGAGAAAUGUCCUACCCUCGGCAGCAGUGAAGAAUUUUGGACAAAUAGCGUAAGCUAGGUCCAGUGAUCUUGCGUGAACAACAUUUAUAAAUUUGGUUAUUUUUAAAAAUAAUGAUAAUUAUCUAUAAUAAGUUCUGACUAAUCACGUGCCAGCAGUCGCGGUAAGACGUGGGGAACAAGCGUUAUCCAUCUAAACUGGGCGUAAGGGAUAAGUAGGCGAUUAAUAGACAUCUUCCUAUAGGAGAUUAUAUUUAAUUAGAGUUCUAUUAGAAAAGGUUAGAAAUUUUAUAAUAGUUUUUACGAAUUAUUACUAUAAAAGAACUUCCUAAAACCACGGUAAAUUUUUAUAUAGAACUGACGCUGAGUUAUUAAAGUAUGGGGAGCAAACAAGAUUAGAGACCUUGGUAGUCCAUACCCUGAAUAAUAAGUAUUAAGUAUUUAUAAUUAUAAAUACUUUAGCUAACGCGUAAAUACUUCGUCUGGGGAGUACAGCUGCAAAGUUAAAACUUAAAGAAAUUGGCGGGAAUUUAUAUUAACGGUGGAACAUGUGGCUUAAUUUGAUAGUACGCAAAAAAUCUUACCGAUAUUUUGGGUUUAAUUGAUUAAACUUGAUUGGUUUUGCAUGGCUGUCGUCAGUUCGUGCCGUGAGGUGUAUGGUUUAGUCCUUUACGAACGAGAUUCUCUUUAUUGUAAAUUGAUAGUAUAGGGAGUGACGUCAAGUCAGUAUGGACUGCAUAUAUUGGGCUGCACAUGUGUUAUAAGGGCAGUUAUAAUGAGUUACGAUAAUGUAAGUUGGAGUAAAUCUAUAAAAAUUGUCUAAGUACGGAUUGUUUUUUGUAAUUUAGGGACAUGAAGUUGAAAUCGUUAGUAAUCAUGAAGAAGUGCGUUAUGGUGAAUAAAUAAUUAAAUUCUGCACAUACCGCCCAUCAUGCUAGGGAAGUUAAGGUGAUUGGAUAGUUAUGGCCUCUGUUUAGGGUAAAGUUUAAUUCGGGAAUUUAGUUUAUUUUAAAUAUGUAACUGAAGAAUAGUUUGAUAACUUUAGUUAAGUUGUAACAAGGUACUGGUAGGGGAACCUGUUGGUGGAGUA